CCACUACAUUUUUUCUUCUCUUUUUGCAGUUCUCAUUCUCAUCGUUCCUUGUUUUUCUGAGAAAGGUACGUAUCUCUUCCUGCUGUAAAAUUGCCGUGAUUAAUUCUUCUUUGAUUCCAUUUUCUCCUGUCUUGCAAGAUCAAUUGAAAAGAUCGAAUUAAUGAUGAGUCUAAUGAAAAAGCAUGUUUCGAUUUUCUAAAAAAAUGUAAGGAUUUUUUACAUUAUUGGUGUAUUAGUGCAUUGUAAUAUGCUUUAGCAGCUAAUUUAUCUUAUUUUUAAGGUCACUAAUUUCACUUUUUAUGAGAAACUACAUGUAGUUCUCUUUUAGGUGGUUACACGUUAAUAACUGUGUUAACGUAUUGUAAAAAUAUAUAAUGUUUUCAAUUUCGAUAAAAAUGAAGGUGGUAAAAGUAGUUUCGUUUCUAUGCAUGCAGCCCCAUAUUCCACAUUCGCAAAGGACGCUACAUCAGCACCAGAGGUGGUAUUCUUCGAUUAUAUCGUUAUAGGAGGAGGAACUUCUGGCUGUGCGUUAGCAGCAACUCUCUCACAAGGUUCCAAUGUUUUGUUAUUGGAAAGAGGUGGCUUGCCUUAUGGUAACCCAAACAUCACAAACAUUACUGGUUUUGCCAACAAUUUAGCAGACACUUCUCCUUCAUCGCCCGCACAACUCUUCAUCUCUACCGACGGUGUAUUCAACCACCGUGGCCGUGUCUUAGGCGGCGGCUCGGCCGUUAAUGCCGGGUUCUUUUCACGGGCAAGCAAAGGCUACGUUAAGAAAAUGGGAUGGGAUCAAAAGGUAGUGAAUGAAGCCUAUGAAUGGGUUGAAAAGAAAGUGGCGUUUCAGCCUCAGAUAAAGCAGUGGCAAUCGGCAGUGAGAAAUGGUCUUGUGGAAGUAGGGGUGAAACCAUAUAAUGGUUUUACGUAUGAACAUUUGUUUGGAACUAAAGUUGGUGGUACCAUUUUUGAUCCACAAGGUCAUAGGCAUACUGCUGCUGAUUUAUUAGAGUAUGCUGAUCCUACCAAAAUUACUGUUUAUUUGUAUGCAACCGUGCAACAGAUCAUGUUCAAAAAAGAAGGUAACUGCUUAAAUUUUUCCGAACGUAGUUUACAACUUUUAAAACUAUAAAUAUAAAUAUGCCAUAGACAUAUCUGUAACUAUAAAUCAUCUCAAGUUAGAUUAUAUCUAAAUAAGUAUGUUAUUAUUUUGGGACAAACUAAAAAAGAAAGCAUAAAAAUUACGUAUUAUUUUUUGGAGCAGGAAUACUAACACUAUCAUUGAUUUUUACUGAAAAUGAAGCAGGAGGAAGGAAGCCAAGAGCUUAUGGAGUUCGGUUUCUAGAUUCAGAAGGUAAUAGCCACAUGGCGUACUUGAACGAAGGAUCCAAAAACGAGGUCGUUUUGAGCGCUGGAGCAUUGGGAAGCCCACAAAUGUUAAUGUUAAGUGGUAUUGGGCCGGCAAAGCAAUUGAAGGCCCAUGGGAUCUAUAUUUUGGUGGAUCAGCCCAUGGUUGGUAAGGGUAUGUCAGAUAACCCAAUGAAUGCUGUCUUUGUUCCUUCUCCACACCCUGUUGAAGUUUCUCUUAUUCAAGUGGUUGGUAUUACUGGCUUCAAAAGUUACAUUGAAGCUGCCAGCGGGCCUUUGGAGUUGGAUUGGAUGCGAAGGAUUGCCCAUGAUUUUAAAAGAAUAGCUAAUCAGGUGAGAUCACUCUAUAAAACGUAACUAAUCACAGUUAAUUUUUUGUAGUGAAUAAGUAUUAGGCAUUGGUAGCUUAUGUCACUAAUCGAAACAUCAAUUAGACAUAAUUUGACCCGGAAAGAGGCACUAUUCACUAAUCAAACAUUAAUUAGACUCCCAUCACUAAUAAUUUUACUUUCGUAAUCAUAUCCUUUUAACGGGGUUCGCGAGCACCAUAUAAUGGUUACACUGUUUAAUUUAACCUUCAUUUGGACAUGACAAAUUUAUGACAAAGUUUUGAGUGGUGUUUGAAUAAAAUUUUUGGUAUUAAAAGUAGCUUUGAGUCACUUUUGUUUUAAGAAAAUAAAGAUGAAUUUGAGAAGCAGGACAAUUCUUUCAAAAUAACUAUCUAAACAGUUCCACUAGUAAAGAAAUUUUCCAAAAUUAUUCUGAGAAACUGUACAAAUGCCAACCAAGAAUAUGCAUAUGAUUGGAAUUUGUAUAGUAGUAGUAAUUCUGACUAACUAUCAUUUUAAGGGAUUGACUAGAAAAAAGAGAUAGCAUACUUGUAUUGCAGUAUUUAGAGGGAUUUAAUCUAUACAAUCUUUGAUAGUGUAACUUGUAAUAGUACUGGUUAGAUUUCAUUAUGACUUGAUUACCAGUUAAUACAAAUCAUAUAAAUUUACUCAAGUGACAUGAUUGUAAAAAUAGAAGGGUAAAAAUGGUCAUCGGUGAAUUAUUAUUUUUUAUUUUUUUUCAUUUGGUGCAGACCAUGGACCCAUUGAAGGUACCUUCAGAAAUGCAGUUCCCCAAAGGCAUACCUGGGAUCAACCCACACCUUCUACACUCCCCUAUGCAAGCUGGUCUCAUCCUAGAAAAAGUAGCAGGACCAUAUUCAACAGGUUUUCUUCAACUUAAAAGCAAAGACCCAAAUGAAAAUCCAAAAGUAACUUUCAACUACUUCAAAGAUCCAAGAGACUUACAAAGAUGUGUACAAGGCAUGAAAACAAUAGCAGAGGUCAUAGAAUCAAGAUCUUUCUCCAAAUUCAGAUACCCUUAUACUUCAGCACAAUCUUUAAUGGAUACAAUGUUGACUUUUCCAAUUAACUUGAGGCCAAGACAUUUGAGUGCC
Molecule: long non-coding RNA, 2806 nt
Filed under: Nicotiana tabacum (common tobacco)
Lineage: Eukaryota; Viridiplantae; Streptophyta; Magnoliopsida; Solanales; Solanaceae
Description: long non-coding RNA (NTAB_LNC001723)
Source: RNAcentral